RNAcentral lists this ribosomal RNA (495 nucleotides) under uncultured bacterium. RNAcentral's name for it is "partial 16S ribosomal RNA". It matches the Rfam family "Bacterial small subunit ribosomal RNA", at positions 28 to 507 of the family's 1533-position model. The record is from RNAcentral.
GAUGAACGCUGGCGGCGUGCCUAAUACAUGCAAGUAGAACGCUGAAGGAGGAGCUUGCUCUUCUGGAUGAGUUGCGAACGGGUGAGUAACGCGUAUGUAACCUGCCUGGUAGCGGGGGAUAACUAUUGGAAACGAUAGCUAAUACCGCAUGACAACAGUUAUUGCAUGAUAACUGUUUAAAAGGGGCAACUGCUCCACUACCAGAUGGACGUGCGUUGUAUUAGCUAGUUGGUGAGGUAACGGCGCACCAAGGCGACGAUACAUAGCCGACCUGAGAGGGGGAUCGGCCAAACUGGGACUGAGACCAGGCCCAGACUCCUACGGGAGGCAGCCGGAGGGGAUCUUCGGCAAUGGAAGGAAGGCUGACCGGGCAACGCCGCGGUAGGGAAGAAGGUUUUCGGAUCGUAAAGCUCUGUUGUAAGGGAAGAAAGAGUGUGAGAGUGGAAAGUUCACACUGUGACGGUAUCUUACCAGAAAGGGACGGCUAACUACGUG